GCUUCCCGACCGGUUCCUCCUCCUCCCUGAACCGGUCGCGAGCAGCGGCAUCGCCCCUCCUCCUCCCUGGGCGAUCCGCAACGAGGCGACGGCAUCUCCUCCUCCCUGAUGCCGUCGCCUUGA
Molecule: non-coding RNA, 123 nt
Filed under: Limimaricola variabilis
Lineage: Bacteria; Pseudomonadati; Pseudomonadota; Alphaproteobacteria; Rhodobacterales; Paracoccaceae
Description: ar14
Rfam family: Alphaproteobacterial ar14
About the family: Smr14C2 was renamed NfeR1 (Nodule Formation Efficiency RNA) highly expressed in salt stress and during the symbiotic interaction on legume roots.
Source: RNAcentral